RNAcentral lists this long non-coding RNA (4202 nucleotides) under Carassius auratus (goldfish). RNAcentral's name for it is "lncRNA (ENSCARG00000001325.1)". The record is from RNAcentral. Lineage: Eukaryota; Metazoa; Chordata; Actinopteri; Cypriniformes; Cyprinidae.
AUGGAAGGAUACGCUAUCUGUUGCCAGGGGCAAUGCCUUCAGAACUUCACAGAGGCGCGACUAAACAUUUCAGAGCGCUUUCAUUUUUGCGCAUUUAUUUUGUCGGCGGAACAGAUCGAGACGGAUCUACGAAUACGCGGAAGAAAGUGGACCUUACAGGAACAAGCUCACACCAAGCGCAAAACAGCGGUGUUUGGAGAAGCUCUCAGGCAGCUCCCUGCAGCGGCACAGAGACCUGAACAAUUUACCUCAGUGCACACAUAUAGACAUUGGGGAUUAUAUUGUUUACAAUAUGCUGUGAAGUGAAUGCAGCGAUGGCAGAACACCUGAAGCACGCUCAAAGAAGAGCUGAGGGUGGAGGUUACACAAGAAAUGAGCCAAACAGCUGUAAUGUGUUAUAUGUGGGGUAGUUCACCCAAAAUUAAAAUAGUCAUAAUUUUCUCACCCUCAUGUUACUACAAACCUGUAUAACUUUCUAUGUUCUGCUUGACACAAAGAUAUUUGGAAGAAUGUUUGUAACUAAGCAGAUCUCGUUAUGUUAACGAUCAUGAUAAUUUUUCCUACAAUGGCACUUAAUGAGUUGUGAGAUUGUGAGAUCUGAUUGGUUACAAACAUUCUUCCAUAUAUCUUUGUGUUUAUAAGACAACUGGGUAAGUCAAUGACAAGAUUAAUAAAGACAUGAUAAAAAGAAACCCUCUUUUAACAUUCCAGUAGAACACACGUGAACGCAUUCUCAGAAAUGUAAUCUUUUAAUUAUAAUCAGUAAAAUAAAGACUCAUAUGAUUCGCGAACACACUCUGAAGUCCAGAUCUGACUGAUAUGACUCAAAUGAUUCGCGAUCCCGCUCUGAAGUUGCGAUCUGACUCAAAUGAUUCGCGAACUUGCUCUGAAGUCCCGAUCUGACUCAAAUGAUUCGCGGACCCGCUCUGAAGUCGCGAUAUGACUCAAAUGAUUCGCGGACCCACUCUGAAGUCGCGAUCUGACUCAUAUGACUCAAAUGAUUCGUGAACCCGCUCUGAAGUCGCGAUAUGUCUCAAAUGAUUCGCGGACCCACUCUGAAGUCGCGAUCUGACUCAAAUGAUUCGCGAACUUGCUCUGAAGUCGCGAUCUGACUCAUAUGACUCAAAUGUUUCGCGGACCCGCUCUGAAGUCGCGAUAUGACUCAAAUGAUUCGCGAACUCGCUCUGAAGUCGCGAUCUGACUCAUAUGACUCAAAUGAUUCGCGGACCCGCUCUGAAGUCGCGAUAUGACUCAAAUGGUUCGCGGACCCACUCUGAAGUCGCGAUAUGACUCAGAUGAUUCGCGAACCCGCUCUGAAGUCCUGAUCUAACAUUUUUUUUCUUUAUUUUAAACAGUUAGGACACAACAAUAAUUUUCAAAUAACAAAAAAUAACAAAAAUAGAGACAGAGAACAUUUCAACAACAUAACACAAAAAAAUGAAGUCCGAUCUAACUCAAAUGAUUCGCGAGCCCCCUCUGACGUCCUGAUCUGACUCAUAUGACUCAAAUGAUUUGCGGACCCGCUCUGAAGCAUAGACAGUAAAAGAAAUGGACCUAGCGACCCCAUUGGAUUCAACGGAGAAAAAUGAAGUCAAUUAGAAGCACGCACUCCCCGGGAGUCGAGCGUACUGUGCAGACUCAAACUGAGCUUGAUGACAUAGAUGUCACGUGAGCAACCUGUUAGUCUUCUAAUCGCUGCGCCAAGAGAAAUCUGAAUCACCCACCGAAUCUUGCAGAGAAGGCGAGCGGGAAUAGGAGCAAAUUUUGGUAAGUAUUCUGAUUAAUUAUGUCCCUUGACUUCAUGCCUCCACGUCCCCCUGAUAGCCUCAUAGACAGUAAAAGAUUGCCUGCGAGCUUCUCCUCCUGUCCAUACGGUAAUUUCUCUGUGCGACAGAGAGUCACCGGUUAUGACGCAAUCGUUAGCCUUUUUUUUUUUUUUUUUUUACAAAAACUGCUUCUACGGGAACAUAAUGUAAGAUACAAGGUAAUGGAACCUUUUAUACAUUUUCGUGUUCCUUUAGAAAUAAUUAAUGGACAAAUGGAGUGUUUAAAGAUUUUGAGUUGAGGACUCGAGGAGGGAGAUGUAUGGAUAUAUAUUAUAUAAAAUCUACUGUUGGGUAAGUACAUUUUGUAUUAUUUGAUUAACGUGCUUGAGUUUUACUUGUUUCACACGAAGGAAACGAAAGGAACGAUGCCCACAUUGUCAACUGAAAUUCACUGAGUAAGGCUAAAAUUAGCUAACGUUAGAAGGCUAAAAGUUACUUAUAUUGAUGUAAUUUUUAUUGGUACGCUUUAAUUAUUCAGGGGACAUCACAGCCCACCUGUCUUAUCAGAAAUGUCCUGUUCACUUUCUCACAGUUACACACCUAGUUAAGGGUCUUUCUCAAGGGCAUCAUCACAUUAAAUCACACCAUCUUUUAUACAAUAAAAAUAAAAUCUAAUGCAUGUUGAUUACUUUUUUCUAAUGUUUCAUUCAUGAUUCAUUCAUCUUGUUCCAAGUUUUUUCUUUUUGCUGUAGACCAUAAAGAUAUUUUGAAAAUAAGUGCAUGUCAUUUAUCUAUUUUUAUUUUAUUUUAUUUAUUUUAAAAAUAAAUAUAUUCUCUUCCCUUCAGAUGCUGUGAAGUGAAUGCAGCGAUGGCAGAACACCCGAAGCACGCUCCAGGAAGAGCUGAGGGUGGAGGUUAUACAAGAAAUGAGCCAAACAGCUGUAAUGUGUUAUAUGUGGGAUAGUUCACCCAAAAAUGAAAAUAGUCAUAAUUUUCUCACCCUCAUGUUACUACAAACCUGUAUAACUUUCUAUGUUUUGCUUGACACAAAGAUAUUUGGAAGAAUGUUUGUAACUAAGCAGAUCUCGUCAUCUUAACGAUCAUGAUAAUUUUUCCUACAAUGGCAGUUAAUGAUUUGUGAGAUUGUGCGAUCUGCUUGAUAACAAACAUUCUUCCAUAUAUCUUUGUGUUUAUAAGACAAAUGGGUAAGUCAAUGACAAGAUUAAUAAAGACAUGAUAAAAAGAAACCCUCUUUUAACAUUCCAGUAGAACACACGUGAACGCAUUCUCAGAAAUGUAAUCUUUUAAUUAUAGACAGUAAAAUAAAGACUCAUAUGACUCAAAUGAUUCACUAACCCGAUUUGAAGUCGCGAUCUGACUCAGAUGAUUCGCGAACCCGCUCUGAAGUCGCGAUCUGACUCAUAUGACUCAAAUGAUUCGCGGACUCGCUCUGAAGUCCUGAUCUAACUUUUUUUUUCUUUAUUUUAAACAGUUAGGACACAACAAUAAUUUUCAAAUAACAGAAAAUAACAAAAAUAGAGACAGAGAACAUUUCAACAACAUAACACAAAAAAAUGAAGUCCGAUCUAACUCAAAUGAUUCGCGAGCCUGCUCUGACGUCCUGAUCUGACUCAUAUGACUCAAAUGAUUCGCGGACCCGCUCUGAAGCAUAGACAGUAAAAGAAAUGGACAUAGCGACCCCAUUGGAUUCAACGGAGAAAAAUGAAGUCAAUUAGAAGCACGCACUUCCCGGGGGUCAGCAUUCUGCGCAGACUCAAACUGAGCUUGCAACCUGUUAGUCUUCUAAUCACUGUGCCAAGAGAAAUCUGAAUCACCCACCGAAUCUUGCAGAGAAGGCGAGCGUGAAUAGGAGCAAAUUUUGGUAAGUAUUCUGAUUAAUUAUGUCCCUUGACUUCAUGCCUCCACGUCCCCCGAUAGACUCAUAGACAGUAAAAGAUUGCCUGCGAGCUUCUCCUCCUGUCCAUACGGUAAUUUCUCUACUGUGCGACAGAGAGUCGCUGGUUAUGACGCAAUCGUUAGCCUAUUUUUUUUUUUUACAAAAACUGCUUCUACGGGAACAUAAUGUAAGAUACAAGGUAAUGGAAACUUUUAUACAUUUUCGUGUUCCUUUAGAAAUAAUUAAUGGACAAAUGGAGUGUUUAAAGGGGGGGUGAAAUGCUAUUUCAUGCAUUCUGAGUUUUUUACACUGUUUAAGAGUUGGAUUCCCAUGCUAAACAUGGACAAAGUUUCAAAAAUUAAGUUGUACGUUUGAAGGAGUAUUUUUGUUCCCAAAAUACUCCUUCCGGUUUGUCACAAGUUUUGGAAAGUUUUUUUCGAGUAUGGCUCUGUGUGACGUUAGAUGGAGCGGAAUUUCCUUAUAUGGGUCCUGAGGCACUUCUGCCGGAAGAGCGAGCGCUCCCGUAUAGCGAGGCUGAG